RNAcentral lists this ribosomal RNA (330 nucleotides) under Cohnella sp. RNAcentral's name for it is "bacterial SSU rRNA". It matches the Rfam family "Bacterial small subunit ribosomal RNA", at positions 1 to 314 of the family's 1533-position model. Lineage: Bacteria; Bacillati; Bacillota; Bacilli; Caryophanales; Paenibacillaceae. The record is from RNAcentral.
CCUUUUAUGGAGAGUUUGAUCCUGGCUCAGGACGAACGCUGGCGGCGUGCCUAAUACAUGCAAGUCGAGCGGACCUUCGAGGGAGCUUGCUUCCGAGAAGGUUAGCGGCGGACGGGUGAGUAACACGUAGGCAACCUGCCCUUUAGACCGGGAUAACAUUCGGAAACGGAUGCUAAGACCGGAUAAGCAGUCUCAUCGCAUGAGGGGGCUGGGAAAGACGGAGCAAUCUGUCACUAAAGGAUGGGCCUGCGGCGCAUUAGCUAGUUGGUGAGGUAACGGCUCACCAAGGCGACGAUGCGUAGCCGACCUGAGAGGGUGAACGGCCACACU